Molecule: ribosomal RNA, 293 nt
Filed under: uncultured eukaryote
Lineage: Eukaryota
Description: partial 18S ribosomal RNA
Rfam family: Eukaryotic small subunit ribosomal RNA
Source: RNAcentral
GGUUGAUCCUGCCAGUAGUCAUAUGCUUGUCUCAAAGAUUAAGCCAUGCAUGUCUAAGUAUAAGCAAUCUAUACAGUGAAACUGCGAAUGGCUCAUUAAAUCAGUUAUCGUUUAUUUGAUAGUACCUUACUACUUGGAUAACCGUGGUAAUUCUAGAGCUAAUACAUGCUAAAAAUCCCGACCUCUGGAAGGGAUGUAUUUAUUAGAUAAAAAACCAAUGUCUUCGGACUCUUGGGUGAUUCAUGAUAACUUUACGAAUCGCAUGGCCUUGCGCCGGCGAUGGUUCAUUCAAA